GGUCCCCAGGGAGCGCUGUUUGUUUGUUUGUUUGCUUGUUUGUUUGUCUGUUUGUUUAACGGAGCGCUGCGCUGGGCAUCCCGGCGACCGACGAGGACUUCGCUGAGUCCUCGGGGAGAUGCAAACGAGUCCGUUCUCUUUCUAGGAGCUCCAACUCGCAGCGCCAAGCGCCGAGGAUGCCGGACGGACUCAAGAUCCUAACUCUAACCUGAGGGACUGAGCGACUGCUCGCCCCAAAGUGUUCGCUCUCCUUCCUGGAAGAGCCACAAGGGGUUCGAGGCGACGCCCUAGGGACCCUUGGGAAGCGUCACGUCAGCCGCUUUCCCUCAUCCCUCGCUGUUGGGUGUCUGUGGAACAAACUCGUUUUCAGGACUGUGAUGACUAUUCUUCGUUGUCAACUUGACUAUAUCUGGAAUCACCUACAACCCAGAAAUGGAGAAGAGCACACCUGUGAGAGAUUGUCUGCUUAAAGUGGAUGAAUCCACUUCUAGUCCAGACCUUUGAGGUAGGAAGACACACAUUUUUAAUCUCAAUCUCGAGGUGGGAAGACACAAGUCUUUAAUCCAAAUCUUAAGAGAUGUCUUUUGUGAACAUAUGAGCCAUACUUUCAGCUGGAUGUCUGUAUAAGGACGUAAAAGAAGGAAGCUUUUACUCUUUGUCUAUCUGCUCUUGCCUUGCUAGCACAUCCAUUCCCUCACUGGUAUUACAACCUACUUCUGGAUUGCAGCAUAUACUGAAGACCACCUGAGACAUGCAGCCUUGUGGGACUGAGCAACCACUAGAUUUUUAGACUUUUUAUUGUUGGAUUAGCUGGACUACAGAGGAAGGAGAGAGAGAUUGAUUCCAUAAGUUCUGUGACUCUAAAGAACCCUGACUAAUACAGAUUUUGGUACCAGAAGUGGUUCUAGAGAAGCAGAAGUAUAAGGAUGAAUCUUUUAAGUAUCUGGAAUAGGCAUUUCAAUUCGCCGGCACCUUCAGCUACUGAAGUCUCUCCAGUCACCCCCUCUCCUGGGAGCUUGGAGAGUACUGAAGGCCCAUGGUAUGAACUGUAUUACAAACUUAAAGAGAUAAAUGAAUUUGAUUAUCCUGGCUCACCAAUUGUGAGCGACAAUGGAUUAGGUGACCCUGUAUAUGAAACUUUUGACAGUUUGGGGGAAAAUAAGGAAAAUGAUGCUGCUGGUUGGUUGCUUUUAGCAUCUCUGGAUAAACUGAUAAAGGAUAGGAAUGAGCUCCGGGAUAAAAUUAACCAACUGCAGAAUAUGGUGAAGGACAACAAAGAACUUAAUGAUAAAAUUGACCAUCUUCAGAUGCUCAUAAACAAUCUAAAGGUUUCUAAGUGUGCCCUGGAAAAGAAUCUUCUCUCCAGCAGCCACAAAGCUCAGUUUAUGGAAAACCAAACUGAAGCUCUCAUUAUUCGGUUAGCCGAGUUACAGGGAAAAUUCAAGUCCCAGCCUCGGAAAGUGUCAGCAGGUAAAGUAAGAGCAUUAAUUGGUAAAGAAUGGGAUCCUAUAACUUGGGAUGGAGAUGUGUGGGAGGACCCUAUUGAAUCUGAGAACUUUGAAUCUUCAGAUUCUCAAGUGUUUAUCUCACCUGAGGAAGUAGUACCCUCAGCCCCACCCCUUGAAAUACUGCCUUUUUCACCUUUCACUGAGGAAAUUAAUCCUUUGUUAUCUAUUAAACCAGCAGUGGCUAUCUCUAAAGGAAAUGCCAAGCAAGACAAUACUGAUGUCCCUGAGAGCCUCAAAAUAGUUGCCUUUAGACCUACAACCAGACUUAAGGCAAAGCAGGCUCCUAGAGGGGACAUAGAGAGUGUGGUGCAUGAGGAAGUGUGCUAUACUACUAAGGAGCUUAAUGAGUUUACUAAUUCAUUCAAGCAGAAGUCUGGGGAAUAUGUGUGGGAAUGGAUUUUAAGGGUGUGGGAUAAUGGUGGAAGGAACAUAAAACUGGAUUCGGCUAAGUUUAUUGACAUGGGCCCUCUGAGUGGAGAUUCUAGGUUCAAUAUGGAAGCUCGCACAGUUCAAAAAGGUGUCAAAAGUUUGUUUGAAUGGUUGGCUGAAGUGUUUGUCAAAAGAUGGCCUACUGAGAAGGAAUUGGAGAUGCCUGAUAUCCCUUGGCUUAGUGUUGAUGAAGGGAUUUUAAGGCUCAGGGAAAUUGCAAUGCUAGAGUGGAUAUAUUGUGUAAAACCUAGUGCUCAACAAUGGGAAGGCCCAGAAGACAUGCCCUUCACUAAUCCAAUAAGACGCAAAAUGGUGAGAGGGGCACCAGCACAUUUGAAGAGUUUUGUUCUCUCCCUUUUGCUUGUGCCAAACCUUAGGGUUGGAGAUGCUGCUACUCAAUUGGAUGAAUUAAAUGCAAUGGGCUUAAUUGGGCCCCGGGGUAGCAGGAGCCCAGUGGCAGCACUGAAUUGACAAAAGUAAGGCGAUCAUAACUAUUGUAUGAGCAGCAUAGACAACACAAUGUUCAUAAUGGCAUGACUUGUAUGGACCUUUGGUACUGGCUCAUCAGUCAUGGUGUUUCCAGGCAUGAAGUGGAUAAGAAGCCUACUGAAUAUUUGAUCUAUAUAAGUGGAAAAAUUCUC
Molecule: long non-coding RNA, 2578 nt
Filed under: Mus musculus (house mouse)
Lineage: Eukaryota; Metazoa; Chordata; Mammalia; Rodentia; Muridae
Description: RIKEN cDNA B230354K17 gene
Source: RNAcentral